ACGGAAGGCAGCAGUAGGGAAUAUUGCACAAUGGGGGGAACCCUGAUGCAGCAACGCCACGUGUGGGAAGAAGCAUUUCGGUGUGUAAACCUCUGUCGUGAGGGAAUAAGACCCGCCUCCGGGCGGGGUUGAAUGUACCUCGAAAGGAAGCACCGGCAAACUUCGUGCCAGCAGCCGCGGUAAUACGAGGGGUGCAAGCGUUGUUCGGAAUCACUGGGCGUAAAGGGAGCGUAGGCGGAGAAGCAAGCGGUCUGUACAAGACCGGGGCCCAACCCCGGACCUGCAGACCGGACUGCUCCUCUUGGAUAGUUCAGGGGCAGGCGGAAUUCCUGGUGUAGCGGUGGAAUGCGUAGAGAUCAGGAAGAACACCGAUGGCGAAGGCAGCCUGCUGGGGACUCAUCGACGCUGAGGCUCGAAAGUGCGGGUAGCAAACAGGAUUAGAUACCCUGGUA
RNAcentral lists this ribosomal RNA (452 nucleotides) under uncultured Fibrobacter sp. RNAcentral's name for it is "bacterial SSU rRNA". It matches the Rfam family "Bacterial small subunit ribosomal RNA", at positions 341 to 792 of the family's 1533-position model. Lineage: Bacteria; Pseudomonadati; Fibrobacterota; Fibrobacteria; Fibrobacterales; Fibrobacteraceae. The record is from RNAcentral.